UACGAAGGGAGCUAGCGUUGUUCGGAAUCACUGGGCGUAAAGCGCACGUAGGCGGAUGUGUCAGUCAGGGGUGAAAUCCCGGAGCUCAACUUCGGAACUGCCUCUGAUACAGCACGUCUUGAGUCCGAUAGAGGUGGGUGGAAUUCCUAGUGUAGAGGUGAAAUUCGUAGAUAUUAGGAAGAACACCAGUGGCGAAGGCGGCUCACUGGUCCGGUACUGACGCUGAGGUGCGAAAGCGUGGGGAGCAAACAGG
This 253-nucleotide ribosomal RNA is filed under the name uncultured bacterium. Its description in RNAcentral is "partial 16S ribosomal RNA". It matches the Rfam family "Bacterial small subunit ribosomal RNA", at positions 524 to 776 of the family's 1533-position model. The record is from RNAcentral.